CUUGACUAAUGAACAGUAUCACCGCAGUG
RNAcentral lists this non-coding RNA (29 nucleotides) under Cricetulus griseus (Chinese hamster). Lineage: Eukaryota; Metazoa; Chordata; Mammalia; Rodentia; Cricetidae. The record is from RNAcentral.